UCACACGAUAUCAUCAACCAACAUAAUUAGCAAUGGAAACACUACUGGCAAUGAUACUGGCAUUAGAAUCAACCAACACCACCACUACUGAUAGUGAUGAUUCCAAUGAUGGUGAUACUAAUGGAAUGUGUACUAAGAUUAAUGGAGGGAAAGUUGCAGGUGACUGUAAUAAAGGAAUAAGCAGCAGCAACCAGAUAUCAGUCUGAAUGGAGCAGAGGAGGUGGGUGGAGCUAUAUCAGAACGUAAUAUGGCGUUUUGGCCUUUUGUCACUUUAUUUAACCAUUUUUAAGGGUACCGUCAAGGAUCUCAAGUCCUUUUUUGUAGGCGGAGUUGACAAAUUGUCAUCAAAUUUACAUGAAUGAACAUUAAAGGUACCGUCAAGGAUCUCAAGUCCAUUUUAGAGGGCGGAGUUGACGCCUUGUCUUCACAUUUACAUGAAUGAACAUUAAAGGUACUGUCAAGGAUCUCAAGUCCAUUUUAGAGGGCGGAGUU
Molecule: long non-coding RNA, 492 nt
Filed under: Amphimedon queenslandica
Lineage: Eukaryota; Metazoa; Porifera; Demospongiae; Haplosclerida; Niphatidae
Description: uncharacterized LOC109590045, transcript variant X3
Source: RNAcentral